GCCCUGGAAAGCCACGGGUUCUUAUUCGGUGAUCAGGAUUCAAUACAGAGAGCUCACCAUGGAAUUCACAAAGAGUUGGGUUUUCCUCCUUGCUGUUGUACAAGGUGUGCAGGCUGAGGUGCAGCUGGUGGAGUCUGGCGGGGGCUUGGUGCGGCCUGGCGGAUCCCUGAGACUCUCUUGUGCAGCCUCUGGUUUCACCUUUAGUAACUACUACAUGCACUGGAUCCGCCAGACUCCAGGAAAGGGGCUGGAGUGGAUCGCAUACAUCAGUGGUAGUAGUAAUGAUAUAAACUACGCAGCCUCCGUGAAGGGCCGGUUCACCAUCUCCAGAGACAACAGCAAGAACACGCUGUAUCUGCAAGUGAAUAACGUGAGAACCGAGGACACCGCGCUGUAUUACUGCGCGAAAGACACAGUGAGGGAAUGUAUGUUACUCUUUCCUUUAUGA
Octodon degus (degu) is the source of this 448-nucleotide non-coding RNA. NCBI's taxonomy places the organism in Eukaryota, Metazoa, Chordata, Mammalia, Rodentia, Octodontidae. The record is from the annotation of a RefSeq genome assembly.